ACUGGGUGAGGGUGGGCCCCCAACGCUUGGCCUCCUUAAAAAAGGACGGUUCAGACACAGACACCCACAGGGAGACGCCCUGCAGCGGUGGAGGCGUAGACGGGAGCGCUGCAGCUGGAAGCACAGGAACGCCAGGGAAGGCUGGCCACCCCGGGAGCCAGGAGAGAGCACAGGACAGACUCUCCCUCGGAGCCUCCAGACGGAGCCAAGCCUGCCAGCGUGUGAUCUCAGACUUCUUGUCUCCGCAGCCACAGGAGAAUCCAUUCCCCUUGUCUAAGCCGCCGGUCUGUUUGGAGAUCUGUUAGGUCAACUCUAGAAAAUGAAUACAGAAAUGAAUGCAGCUCACUGCGGCUUGUCAAACGCCCUCUCUAGAAUUAAAAGCUCACAUUUAUCAACUGGGAUGGAAAAAAAGAAACAAGCCAAUCCAUCGUGGGUAGGGCCUGGGCCUCCUCUUCCCUGAGAUGCCGCUGACCCGUGGGAAGCCGUUUAUCAAAUCCAGGCUGACCGCUCCUGACACUGUCUGCGGCUGAGGCUUUUGGAGGAGCUGCUCACAUGGAAUUCUAAGUCUGCUCUGCACUGGGCCCUGGCUUCCGGGGACUUCUGCAUUUUCCUGGACUUUCUCCCUCUGGACAGAGUGAUGGAGGAAGGGAUCCUACUGGUUCCCAAGCAGCCUGCAGGGCUGUUCAUUUCCUGUUUUCUCUCAUCUCUUAACAUCCUCAAAAUCUUCCCCAAGUGGCUACUUUUGCUCUCACUUUUUCUUAACCCUUUUCCUCCCUGGUUCCUAUACGAAGUCCCUGUGGCCAGGAUGCCUCGCUUCCUAUGCCCAUGGCUGGCUUCCUCGGGCUUCACAGUUGAUCUCCUGGAGAGAUUAUUUUAUGCCUCAUCUGUGUCCUUCAUCAUUGGUGCUGAAAGGGAUAAUGAGACUACCAUGUCAGGGGAGGUGGUCGGUAAGUGGACACUGCGUAGGUGGGCACCAGCACUCCACCCCACCCAUUGCUCUUCAUCAUCAGGAGAGGAGGAAUGGGUUAUUUGGUUUUCUAGUCUUUGGAUGUUGCCUCUUCUCCCACCCAGCUUGCAAUCUGGAAGGUAUUUUACUCAGUGCCAGUCCCUCUGCCGGUGCUGGAGUUUGGAACAGAAAAGAUGCAGAAAUCAGAAAAUCCAUUAGAGCGAGGGUGACAUAGUGGGCUCCAUGGAACUUCUGGGUUUGCUGGAUAUCAGAUAUCCUUGCUGUGGCAGGCUGUAACACGCCCUCUCCCCAAAGCUAUCUACAUCCUAAUUUGGGGAAUCUACAAAUUUUACUUGAUAUGAAAACAGGGUGUUUAUAAAUGUGAUUAAGUUAAGGACCACUGGGCACGCUGGCACAUGUCUGUAAUUGCAGCAGUAUGGGAA
This 1389-nucleotide long non-coding RNA is filed under the name Marmota monax (woodchuck). Lineage: Eukaryota; Metazoa; Chordata; Mammalia; Rodentia; Sciuridae. The record is from RNAcentral.